Molecule: ribosomal RNA, 274 nt
Filed under: uncultured bacterium
Lineage: Bacteria
Description: partial 16S ribosomal RNA
Rfam family: Bacterial small subunit ribosomal RNA
Source: RNAcentral
AUACAGAGGUGGCAAGCGUUGUUCGGAUUUAUUGGGCGUAAAGGGUCCGUAGGCGGAUUGGAAAGUCGGGUGUGAAAUCUCACAGCUCAACUGUGGAACUGCAUUCGAAACUCCCAAUCUGGAGUGUGAGAGGGGUGAAGGGAAUUCCCGGUGUAAGGGUGAAAUCUGCAGAGAUCGGGAAGAACACCAGUCGCGAAGGCGCUUCACUGGCUCACUACUGACGCUGAGGGACGAAAGCUAGGGUAGCAAACGGGAUUAGAAACCCCAGUAGUCC